Patella vulgata (common limpet) is the source of this 599-nucleotide long non-coding RNA. RefSeq lists it as uncharacterized. The transcript has 3 exons. NCBI's taxonomy places the organism in Eukaryota, Metazoa, Mollusca, Gastropoda, Patellidae. The record is from RefSeq and is a predicted model, not a curated record.
CAAGAUUGGGUGUCUCAACAUUUCAGUGGUCGACCUCAUACAAACUUUGUUGCUCUGUCUGUAGUGAAACGCGUUCAGGACAGGAAAAGGUUGGAGUCGGACAAAGUGAUCAAUAACGUCAAUGAAGAAGUGAAUGUCGGUCUGACUCCCAAUAUCUUCGUUUCAACGACAGUUGUCUCCCUUACUUCAUGCUCUUCUAUAGUCGUAUUCCUGGAUCAGGGCUUUCCGGGUCAUUGCUUUCCCUACAUGGUUCAAGAUAUUGUUUGCUGUCAUUUAGUCUUGACGAUAUUCUGAAUCAAACCUGUAUACGAUCCUGCUACUGUAUGCUUGCCUCUUCAUUGUCGGUACCAAGACGGAAGUGAUAUGUACUAAUAGAACGGUGACGUGUCCUGACGGGAAUACAUGCUGUCAUUAUCCACGUGGGGGCGUGUCGUGUUGUCCUGAACCUAAUGCGGUGUGUUGUAAAGGUGGAGGUAGAUGUUGUCCGAAAGGAUUUCGCUGUGAUGAUGACUUCCUUACCUGUAUAAAGUAAACCUUUCAAUGUAGCUGUUCAAGCUUACACGUGCUGUGUGUCAUCUUCAAAAUAAAUGUUUUAAAAU